This 253-nucleotide ribosomal RNA is filed under the name uncultured bacterium. RNAcentral's name for it is "partial 16S ribosomal RNA". It matches the Rfam family "Bacterial small subunit ribosomal RNA", at positions 524 to 776 of the family's 1533-position model. The record is from RNAcentral.
UACGUAGAGUGCAAGCGUUAAUCGGAAUUACUGGGCGUAAAGCGUGCGCAGGCGGUGAUGUAAGACAGAUGUGAAAUCCCCGGGCUCAACCUGGGAACUGCAUUUGUGACUGCAUCGCUGGAGUGCGGCAGAGGGGGAUGGAAUUCCGCGUGUAGCAGUGAAAUGCGUAGAUAUGCGGAGGAACACCGAUGGCGAAGGCAAUCCCCUGGGCCUGCACUGACGCUCAUGCACGAAAGCGUGGGGAGCAAACAGG